GACGAACGCUGGCGGCGUGCCUAAUACAUGCAAGUAGAACGCUGAAGGAGGAGCUUGCUUCUCUGGAUGAGUUGCGAACGGGUGAGUAACGCGUAGGUAACCUGCCUGGUAGCGGGGGAUAACUAUUGGAAACGAUAGCUAAUACCGCAUAAUAGUAGAUGUUGCAUGACAUUUGCUUAAAAGGUGCAAUUGCAUCACUACCAGAUGGACCUGCGUUGUAUUAGCUAGUUGGUGGGGUAACGGCUCACCAAGGCGACGAUACAUAGCCGACCUGAGAGGGUGAUCGGCCACACUGGGACUGAGACACGGCCCAGACUCCUACGGGAGGCAGCAGUAGGGAAUCUUCGGCAAUGGACGGAAGUCUGACCGAGCAACGCCGCGGGAGUGAAGAAGGGUGUCGGAUCGGAAAGCUCGGUUGUAAGAGAAGAACGAGUGUGAGAGUGGAAAGUUCACACUGUGACGGUAUCUUACCAGUAAGGGACGGCUAACUACGUG
This 495-nucleotide ribosomal RNA is filed under the name uncultured bacterium. RNAcentral's name for it is "partial 16S ribosomal RNA". It matches the Rfam family "Bacterial small subunit ribosomal RNA", at positions 28 to 507 of the family's 1533-position model. The record is from RNAcentral.